Molecule: ribosomal RNA, 695 nt
Filed under: uncultured Alphaproteobacteria bacterium
Lineage: Bacteria; Pseudomonadati; Pseudomonadota; Alphaproteobacteria
Description: bacterial SSU rRNA
Rfam family: Bacterial small subunit ribosomal RNA
Source: RNAcentral
GGUGAAAUUCGUAGAUAUUAGAAAGAAUACCAAUUGCGAAGGCAGCUUUCUGGAUCAUUACUGACACUGAGGAACGAAAGCAUGGGUAGCGAAGAGGAUUAGAUACCCUCGUAGUCCAUGCCGUAAACGAUGUGUGUUAGACGUUGGAAAUUUAUUUUCAGUGUCGCAGUGAAAACGAUAAACACACCGCCUGGGGAGUACGACCGCAAGGUUAAAACUCAAAUGAAUUGACGGGGACCCGCACAAGUAGUGGAGCAUGUGGUUUAAUUCGAAGAUACGCGCAGAACCUUACCAACACUUGACAUGUUCGUCGCGACUUUAAGAGAUUAAAGUUUUCGGUUCGGCCGGACGAAACACAGGUGCUGCAUGGCUGUCGUCAGCUCGUGUCGUGAGAUGUUGGGUUAAGUCCCGCAACGAGCGCAACCCUCACUUUUAGUUGCCAUCAUUAAGUUGGGCACUCUGAAAGAACUGCCAGUGAUAAGCUGGAGGAAGGUGGGGAUGACGUCAAGUCCUCAUGGCCCUUACGUGUUGGGCUACACACGUGCUACAAUGGUAUAUACAACAGGAAGCAAGACGGCGACGUUAAGCAAAUCCUCAAAAGAUACCUCAGUUCGGAUUGCACUCUGCAACUCGAGUGCAUGAAGCUGGAAUUACUAGUAAUCGUGGAUCAGCGUGCCACGGUGAAUGCGUUCCCG